This 253-nucleotide ribosomal RNA is filed under the name uncultured bacterium. RNAcentral's name for it is "partial 16S ribosomal RNA". It matches the Rfam family "Bacterial small subunit ribosomal RNA", at positions 524 to 776 of the family's 1533-position model. The record is from RNAcentral.
UACGAAGGGGGCUAGCGUUGCUCGGAAUCACUGGGCGUAAAGGGUGCGUAGGCGGGUCUUUAAAUCAGGGGUGAAAUCCUGGAGCUCAACUCCAGAACUGCCUUUGAUACUGAAGAUCUUGAGUUCGGGAGAGGUGAGUGGAACUGCGAGUGUAGAGGUGAAAUUCGUAGAUAUUCGCAAGAACACCAGUGGCGAAGGCGGCUCACUGGCCCGAUACUGACGCUGAGGCACGAAAGCGUGGGGAGCAAACAGG